UGACAGCCCCGUACACAAAAAUGCACAUAUUGUGAGCUUGAUGAGUAGGGCGGGACACGUGGUAUCCUGUCUGAAUAUGGGGGGACCAUCCUCCAAGGCUAAAUACUCCUGACUGACCGAUAGUGAACCAGUACCGUGAGGGAAAGGCGAAAAGAACCCCGGCGAGGGGAGUGAAAAAGAACCUGAAACCGUGUACGUACAAGCAGUGGGAGCACGCUUAGGCGUGUGACUGCGUACCUUUUGUAUAAUGGGUCAGCGACUUAUAUUCUGUAGCAAGGUUAACCGAAUAGGGGAGCCGAAGGGAAACCGAGUCUUAACUGGGCGUUAAGUUGCAGGGUAUAGACCCGAAACCCGGUGAUCUAGCCAUGGGCAGGUUGAAGGUUGGGUAACACUAACUGGAGGACCGAACCGACUAAUGUUGAAAAAUUAGCGGAUGACUUGUGGCUGGGGGUGAAAGGCCAAUCAAACCGGGAGAUAGCUGGUUCUCCCCGAAAGCUAUUUAGGUAGCGCCUCGUGAAUUCAUCUCCGGGGGUAGAGCACUGUUUCGGCAAGGGGGUCAUCCCGACUUACCAACCCGAUGCAAACUGCGAAUACCGGAGAAUGUUAUCACGGGAGACACACGGCGGGUGCUAACGUCCGUCGUGAAGAGGGAAACAACCCAGACCGCCAGCUAAGGUCCCAAAGUCAUGGUUAAGUGGGAAACGAUGUGGGAAGGCCCAGACAGCCAGGAUGUUGGCUUAGAAGCAGCCAUCAUUUAAAGAAAGCGUAAUAGCUCACUGGUCGAGUCGGCCUGCGCGGAAGAUGUAACGGGGCUAAACCAUGCACCGAAGCUGCGGCAGCGACGCUUAUGCGUUGUUGGGUAGGGGAGCGUUCUGUAAGCCUGCGAAGGUGUGCUGUGAGGCAUGCUGGAGGUAUCAGAAGUGCGAAUGCUGACAUAAGUAACGAUAAAGCGGGUGAAAAGCCCGCUCGCCGGAAGACCAAGGGUUCCUGUCCAACGUUAAUCGGGGCAGGGUGAGUCGACCCCUAAGGCGAGGCCGAAAGGCGUAGUCGAUGGGAAACAGGUUAAUAUUCCUGUACUUGGUGUUACUGCGAAGGGGGGACGGAGAAGGCUAUGUUGGCCGGGCGACGGUUGUCCCGGUUUAAGCGUGUAGGCUGGUUUUCCAGGCAAAUCCGGAAAAUCAAGGCUGAGGCGUGAUGACGAGGCACUACGGUGCUGAAGCAACAAAUGCCCUGCUUCCAGGAAAAGCCUCUAAGCAUCAGGUAACAUCAAAUCGUACCCCAAACCGACACAGGUGGUCAGGUAGAGAAUACCAAGGCGCUUGAGAGAACUCGGGUGAAGGAACUAGGCAAAAUGGUGCCGUAACUUCGGGAGAAGGCACGCUGAUAUGUAGGUGAAGUCCCUUGCGGAUGGAGCUGAAAUCAGUCGAAGAUACCAGCUGGCUGCAACUGUUUAUUAAAAACACAGCACUGUGCAAACACGAAAGUGGACGUAUACGGUGUGACGCCUGCCCGGUGCCGGAAGGUUAAUUGAUGGGGUCAGCGCAAGCGAAGCUCUUGAUCGAAGCCCCGGUAAACGGCGGCCGUAACUAUAACGGUCCUAAGGUAGCGAAAUUCCUUGUCGGGUAAGUUCCGACCUGCACGAAUGGCGUAAUGAUGGCCAGGCUGUCUCCACCCGAGACUCAGUGAAAUUGAACUCGCUGUGAAGAUGCAGUGUACCCGCGGCAAGACGGAAAGACCCCGUGAACCUUUACUAUAGCUUGACACUGAACAUUGAGCCUUGAUGUGUAGGAUAGGUGGGAGGCUUUGAAGUGUGGACGCCAGUCUGCAUGGAGCCGGCCUUGAAAUACCACCCUUUAAUGUUUGAUGUUCUAACGUGGACCCGUGAUCCGGGUUGCGGACAGUGUCUGGUGGGUAGUUUGACUGGGGCGGUCUCCUCCUAAAGAGUAACGGAGGAGCACGAAGGUUGGCUAAUCCUGGUCGGACAUCAGGAGGUUAGUGCAAUGGCAUAAGCCAGCUUGACUGCGAGCGUGACGGCGCGAGCAGGUGCGAAAGCAGGUCAUAGUGAUCCGGUGGUUCUGAAUGGAAGGGCCAUCGCUCAACGGAUAAAAGGUACUCCGGGGAUAACAGGCUGAUACCGCCCAAGAGUUCAUAUCGACGGCGGUGUUUGGCACCUCGAUGUCGGCUCAUCACAUCCUGGGGCUGAAGUAGGUCCCAAGGGUAUGGCUGUUCGCCAUUUAAAGUGGUACGCGAGCUGGGUUUAGAACGUCGUGAGACAGUUCGGUCCCUAUCUGCCGUGGGCGCUGGAGAACUGAGGGGGGCUGCUCCUAGUACGAGAGGACCGGAGUGGACGCAUCACUGGUGUUCGGGUUGUCAUGCCAAUGGCACUGCCCGGUAGCUAAAUGCGGAAGAGAUAAGUGCUGAAAGCAUCUAAGCACGAAACUUGCCCCGAGAUGAGUUCUCCCUGACCCUUUAAGGGUCCUGAAGGAACGUUGAAGACGACGACGUUGAUAGGCCGGGUGUGUAAGCGCAGCGAUGCGUUGAGCUAACCGGUACUAAUGAACCGUGAGG
Molecule: ribosomal RNA, 2568 nt
Filed under: Shigella sonnei
Lineage: Bacteria; Pseudomonadati; Pseudomonadota; Gammaproteobacteria; Enterobacterales; Enterobacteriaceae
Description: partial 23S ribosomal RNA
Rfam family: Bacterial large subunit ribosomal RNA
Source: RNAcentral